GAUGAACGCUGGCGGCGUGCCUAAUACAUGCAAGUCGAGCGAACAGACGAGGAGCUUGCUCCUCUGACGUUAGCGGCGGACGGGUGAGUAACACGUGGAUAACCUACCUAUAAGACUGGGAUAACUUCGGGAAACCGGAGCUAAUACCGGAUAAUAUAUUGAACCGCAUGGUUCAAUAGUUAAAGACGGUUUUGCUGUCACUUAUAGAUGGAUCCGCGCCGCAUUAGCUAGUUGGUAAGGUAACGGCUUACCAAGGCGACGAUGCGUAGCCGACCUGAGAGGGUGAUCGGCCACACGGGAACUGAGACACGGUCCAGACUCCUACGGGAGGCAGCAGUAGGGAAUCUUCCGCAAUGGGCGAAAGCCUGACGGAGCAACGCCGCGUGAGUGAUGAAGGUCUUCGGAUCGUAAAACUCUGUUAUUAGGGAAGAGCAAAUGUGUAAGUAACUAUGAACGUCUUGACGGUACCUAAUCAGAAAGCCACGGCUAACUACGUG
Molecule: ribosomal RNA, 497 nt
Filed under: uncultured bacterium
Lineage: Bacteria
Description: partial 16S ribosomal RNA
Rfam family: Bacterial small subunit ribosomal RNA
Source: RNAcentral